AUUGAACGCUAGCGGGAUGCCUUACACAUGCAAGUCGAACGGAGUGGCGAACGGGUGAGUAAUUUAUCGGAACGUGCCCAGUAGCGGGGGAUAACUACGCGAAAGCGUAGCUAAUACCGCAUACUAUAGGAGCGGACGUUAUCGGAGUGGCUAGUUGGUGGGGUAAAGGCCCACCAAGGCGACGAUCCGUAGCUGGUUUGCGAGGACCACCAGCCACACUGGGACUGAGCCACGGCCCAUACUCCUACGGUAGGCAGCAGUGGGGAAUGUUGGACAAGGGGGGAAACCCUGAUCCAUCCAUCCCGCGUGUGCGAUGAAGGCCUUCGGGUUGUAAAGCACUUUUGGCAGGAACGCGGUACCUGCAGAAUAAGCACCGGCUAACUACGUGCCAGCAGCCGCGGUAAUUC
This 407-nucleotide ribosomal RNA is filed under the name uncultured bacterium. Its description in RNAcentral is "partial 16S ribosomal RNA". It matches the Rfam family "Bacterial small subunit ribosomal RNA", at positions 30 to 526 of the family's 1533-position model. The record is from RNAcentral.